UUGUUUCUUGUUUCCGUUUA
This 20-nucleotide non-coding RNA is filed under the name Arabidopsis thaliana (thale cress). Lineage: Eukaryota; Viridiplantae; Streptophyta; Magnoliopsida; Brassicales; Brassicaceae. The record is from RNAcentral.